Molecule: long non-coding RNA, 242 nt
Organism: Apis florea (little honeybee)
Lineage: Eukaryota; Metazoa; Arthropoda; Insecta; Hymenoptera; Apidae
Source: RefSeq, a predicted model, not a curated record
UUUAUCGCCGAGUGGAACGACACGAAAUUUAUCGUGAGGAGAAUCGAGAAUCAGUAACAAAGUGUGUACGUGGGAAUUGGAAAAUAUUCGCACAGAAAAUUGCGAGCGGAUAAUUGGGCCGCGGCGGGACUAAACUAAAUGCUCGAUACUCGCGAAUUACUAGCGCGUAUUAGCGUUCUAUGCAUGCAACCACCGUGACGAGUUCGACGAACUUCCCUUCUCUUGUUACCGCUUCCGGCAGA